GGGAGACAGAGGGAUGUCUGGUGUGUGUCUGGCGUGUGCGUGUACAGCGGAGGAGUUUAGCACACUUGUAGAAGUCCUUGACUAAAGUCAUGUUGUGGGGGGGACAAAAGAGGCCGCGGACGCCCUGGAGGAAGCCUUGACCGGAGGGAUUCAACACCUUUCCUCAGCGCAUCAGUGGGAUGAGCUUUGAAUGUUGAAUAUUUAACAGCAGCUAGCGGCGCUACCGUCAUUGAUUAUUGCCCAAGAAGUCAUUAAAGCUGCCCUUGCAGACCAGAUCUGGGGCCUGACUUAAUUCAACCACAAUACAGCGAUCGAACUGUUUGUGUGAAAGGUGUGGUUCUGAAGUUUUCCCUUUUCACGAGAGCACCUCAUGAAACUGCGUUGCAUAUCUUGCAUGGAUUCCCACAACUGUCGGGUGGAAUGUGCGCUCUGCUUUUGUUUAUCUGUGUUCUAAGAAGCUUCUAAUGAGGUUUUUAUAAGGUGGUUUCAAGACACGGCUGCGCCAACAUUAAACAAACAAACAGGACUCAAAACCAGCGUUUCAUGUGUCUGUCGGCAGCUUCUGGAGUCUAUAGUUGUGGAAAAUUCCAUGUUUCAAAAUAAUUGAGCGUAAUGAAACCAGGAGAAGAGAAGAAGCCCCGAUAUUAAAGUGUCCCGGUCUCACCCUUUGCUGAGCAGGAGAGGAUACUGAUGAUGCCGCUGGAUGCAACACACAUGUUUUCAUUAGGCGCAUAUACCUUUUUUGAUUAAUUGGAUUAAUUAAGUGGCUGAAUAGUCAGCCAAGUGAUAGCAUAACAGGGUUUUGUGUGCAAAUCUAAUUUGAUGGGUGUGUUUCUGUGAAGCAGAGAGGCUGUCAGACUGAGAGGAAAAGAGGUACAUAGGGUGUGUGUGCGUUUGCGUGUGAGAGACUUAUCCUCACUGACCUCCACUGUUGGUUAGCCCGAGGAUGAAGGGAUGACACAGUGGGAAUGGGUAAGCUAGUGUGGGCGGCCUUCGGUGCAAGAGGGAAAACACGUAGAUGGAACGCUGUCAGAAUUCAGAUGCGCUUUUUAUCAUCAUAAAAAAAACCUUUGAACAUUAGUGUGGAGAUGUUUAUUUUAGCGUGAACAAUCAACGCGGAGGCGACUGGUGGUAUCUACAAGCCACUCCUGCAUUUUAAAUCAUACCCCACUGUGCUGAAAUCUCCAUGACCACAGUAAUAAUGCACUGCGCAUGCAGUGGAAAUCCUUCAGCGGCUUGCAGCAGCUCAGAAGUUCAGGUCAGUUAGACAUGUUUUGCAAUAUUUCUUGAGACAUUUUGGCAGUUUGACUUAACGGACAAGAUCCACAUGAGUAUUAUCCAAUCAACAGGGUCCCCAAUGGGCACUGGUGGUGGAGGCUAGGUCGAGUGGGUAAAAAACGUAUUAACCCAUAAACGUAACGUAAAAUAAAAUACGGCUAAAAUAGACUGCAAGUGUUAAAGCUGCAGCAUAGCUGGUCUUUGGCUUAGUUGAUAUAGUGAAUAUUUGCAUUUACAUCCAACAGAUACAGAGCAACAUCAUUAACGGACUUUAGUUGCUGAGCGCUCCAGUUUACGCUGAGACGCUAUAGUUAACUUUGCUAAACGGUAACGUUCAGGUAACGCGAGUUUGAGCUUUUCUCUUUUUUACAUAAAGUCUGCUGUGAGGGGACACAAUGACGUGAGCGCAGUGACAACAAAAUAACAUUUCUGCUUUCGACAGCAAACCAAUACGCUCAAACUCACAUGCAGAUUUUCGUAGCGAGGUCAACCCAUUCUCCCCCAACACAUAGCUGAGGGGAACUGCAGGAUUGGGUAUUAAUCCCCUUUUAAGUCCUAAUCCAUUGUUAAUAUAAAAACAUUAUUAUUUUGAAUGUGAAUUGUGUAUGAAAUUGGAAAGGUAAAAAGUCAUAUUUUUGAAACUACCCCAAUCAAAGUGAAAAGCUCAGUGGUCUUCGCUCAACCCUUCGCCACUGAAAUCAUGUUUACGCAGAUUUGCGUCUGAGCCAAACACAAGAGCGGGUGAUUUCGCUGAUUAGUUCCUCCACCCUGACUGAAGGUGUGCUAAUCAGCCAAAUGAGACGCUCAAGUGUCUGACACGGACGCAUGGCUCUCCGCUGUUUGGUCUGUUGCAAAGUUUAUCUUCCUCUCACUUUUGAUCCUGCUACUUAAAGUCCAUCAGUUAAUCUCUUUCUCGCAUGCUCCCGUAGCCCCCGAGUGCUGCCAUUUCCAAUUCUCUCUGUCCCGUCCGUCCCACUUUUCUUCUCGCCAUCCCUCGUGGUGGAGCACAUGCCGAAGUUUUGCAUGUGAAUAAUAAACGACCUCUGAGGCUUCGGCCCCGGAGGGAGGGUACGAUCCCUGACCCGGGUUAUUUUUUCUGUCUGCUCACCUCUCGGGACCCUCGCGCUCGCAGCGGCUGGCCAGCUGCAGAGGGGAAUGCUGAGUGAGUGAGUGAAGUUACAUUUUUACAAAGGCAGGUUACUCAGGCGCCAACGUUUGUGUAUUGCGCAUGAGCACCAGACCUUAAUGCAGAUUAAUUAAAUAUCCAAAACGUUAUAAUCUGCUGCCUUCUAAGGGUGUAGCUUUAUCCCUCUUAGGGUAAUGGUCCAUCAUCACUUGUUGUUUCAGGUAAUUUAUUGCGCACAUCCUGAACCUCACAUUGGAAACAUCUGCUCACAACAAAACAAACGAUAAUGGAACACCAGCUUCUAGGUCCUUGUAAUGACGAUUACAAAUUCACAGCGAGUUUCUCUUUCCCAGAAGCCUUUUUAAAAAGACUAUCAUAACGGGGACAAAUGAGAGCAAGUCUCGCUCUAAUUGAUAACCUCAUUACAAGUCUCUACCGAGCUAUUUUACAGCGGCCCGCUCUGUGGCGCCCAGGUCACUGGCUCACCGCCGGGACUCGCAUUAUGAGACUAGUCGGCGUUAAGUCGUACGACCUGUUCGGGCCUCCGUGUGCUCCGCCAACAGCUUUCUGCUGUCAGACGGCUCUGCUGGACAAACACACAUCUCAACGGGGCGCCACGCGCGACCAGCUGCACUUUGAUGAUACAAGCGGAGCGAGGCGCACACAGGAAGGUUGGACGGAGGGAUCUGGCGUUGGGGGGGGUUUCAGCUGUCUGAGAUUGUUAUCACCAAAGCGGUCUGCGUCUCUGUUCUCCCUCUUUGCGAGAUGUCUGGGUGCGCUUCAAGAGAAGUACUUGAAAGAAAAAGUCUCAAAGACUCAACAAAUCAUGCGACUUUGUGUCCCAUUCAUAUACGUGUCUGUAGGUAGGAUAUCAUCAAUCACAGGCAGUAAUUGCUUACUUAAAUUUACCAAAAUAAUGUAGUUAGCUAAACCUAAAUUGAUAUUUUUUGGGGGGUAACGUUUUUUGAAAGGUUGACAAUGUAAAAGAUGUAAUACUGAUUAUACAGACUUUUUAUUUCUAUAUUUUCUCUUAUUAACUAUUCAUGACGUUGUAAAUUGACUACAGGGCUUCACGCCUGGUUUUCAUUGAUUAAACAACAACCCGGCUGCUUUCUUGAUGGUUAUUUUGUUAACUUUGUAAGUCUGCAGUAUGUUGUGCUGUUGUCCGUGUUCAUGAGCUCAAUGUGUGCUCAAUUAGCACAAAUUAUGUGACCGCACACAACGACCGACUUCAUCCUAACUAAAGAAGUCACAAGUCAAUUUAGAGAAAUUGAUCAAAGCGGUAGUCCAACGCCGCGCUUAAUGAAGCGUGCUUUUCAUCGAUUGUUUUCUUUAUUAGACAACAUGCAAGACCCUUAGCAAGAACUAAACAUCCAUUCAAGCAUGGACUAUGAAAAAUAAAAAAAAUGGCAGUAAAAUGAAAUAUUGAAUCUGCAGGCAAUGCAUUUUUAUAUUAUGAAGUACUAUUCUUUGUUAAGCAUCUCAGAAAGCUGUCUCAGAGCUUAAAACCUUUCUUAAACUGAUGAUUCGUUCUAUUCAGAGAAAAGGUUUCUGCUGUGACCACAAAACUAUUUGCAUAAUACACCGAAUAAAAUAUUUGCGCUGCUCUUCUGUCUGACACCUGUCCAAUCAGGCUCAAUCUCCAGCAGUGCUGACGCUUUAUUGGUUCUCCUCAAAGGCCUCAAGAUGCCGGCAUUUGUAUUGAAAUCCAUCAAAGCGCUGCUGCCACGGGUGAUGAGCUGCCGAGGGGUUCUCCCGUCUGCGUCAAAACUUUUACUCCUCACAGGGAUCAAGUGGAUUUUUACUUAUGCUGACAGACAGCUUCACGUCAAACAUUAAAUAAAAUGCUGUAAAAAAAAGAGUUAAAACCUAUCCUGAAAUAUUCUUUUGUCGUUUUCAGAAUAUCAUUUUUGGUUUUAAUGUUGGAGUUUUGAUAAACUGACUCAAUUUCCAAUUAGUUUGAUUAUCAGUCAUUCAGCAGUCGGACGGUAUAGAGAGUGUCAGGAUUUACUUCAACUUCCCAAAUCGUUCUCAAUUCUAAGCUCAGCUUGGCGGCAGGUUUUCCAACAAGGGAAAUGGCAGAACACUAAACCAGAGCAUUAAGGAUCAAUGAACAAACUGGGGGUGUCUUCAGUGAGUGGGACAAAUCACAGGCCAUGUAGUGUGCUAUGAAGUUAGCUGUUGGUUAAACCCAGCAUGCUGAGAGCGAGAGGCAGCGAGGAGCUCGCUAACAGAGCCAAUCUUGAUCGUCCCAUCGACUUGCAAUCAGAUUUUGACGUAAACAGCGAUGGUGAAUAUAUACAAAAUGAGCUCGAGAGAAUGCUUAGCAAAGGUUUCCUGAUGGAGGCCCACGGGAAGGUGGACUUGAGUGGCGGCUUGGCAGCCAGUGGUGGAGGGAUCCAUCAUGUCAUGACAGGGAGGAGAGGGCUCUGACAUCUUGGCCUGCCCUGAGAGGCCAGCGCCUGUCAGCUUAAUGAGGCUCCCACUGACAGGUGAUGCGGUUGUUAGAUUGGGGUCGUGUGUGUGUGUGUGUGUGUGUACGCACGGGGGGGUGGAUUUUCGCAGAAGUUGAACAAGCGCCUCCUUAGCGUGUCUGUUAAUGUAUCUAGCAUGUCGUGUUACUUUCACAUGCGCUUCUCAGGAAAAUCAAAGAUGUUAUAGGCUGAAUCCUAUAAUGUACAAUGGUCCCUCGAGUCGCUCCAACCUGACCGCGUUAACCUGUGUGAGUGCACGUGAAAACUUUGUGUAUUGAUAACUCUGUAAUCUCUCCUUCCCUCACUUCCUUUUACCCUUCAGUGCGCCUCCUUCCCUCUCGGACUCGCUCACCCCCCCCCCCCUCAAGCCACCCACUCAUCUUCCUUUCCCCAUGUGCGGGUAUUAGGUUCACACUGUGGAAUAUAGAUGAAUCCAGCACGGACACUUCUAUUGAUUUCUCCCACACCACGGACACCGGGGAUAAUGAAAGAGUUUUUCCUGUCUUCCCCCCAAGUAGCCAUGCGUCAUAUUUCUUCAGGAGGUCUGAGUGGAAGACCAAUUGAAGGAACUGAGCUCGAUGCUACUGAUGCGGUAGACGGUUCAUGUCUGUUACGUUCCCUGGUAUCGGUUUGAGGUUCUACUGUAAACAACGUUAGGGAAACAGAGGAUGUAAACACUGUUGUUGUUUCCUAUUGAUUGGCAAUUAGCUAAACCCCGUCCUCCUCAGUUAAAGGCGCUUUGCAUCGGUAUUUCCAUUUCCAUUACAUGCGCUUUGCGCCGCGAAUGGAGACAAUUUGCCACCUGAAAUUCUUCUGUGGAAAUGGGUUCUUGAUUUCAAACGGCGGUAGACAAAAGCACGCUCAUCAUUCCUAGCUGGAAACUCGACGACGGUUGAAAGCAGAUUUUAUGCGCUUCAGCCUGCUAGCUGGAUAGUUAUGGACUCCGUUGGAUGGAAAGCCUGUUUUUUAUUGUCUCCUGUAACGUUGGCUUACUUUUCCGACUGCCAAUUUUGGGUGAUGAAAGCUAUACGAUGUCAGGAAUGGGAUAUUAUCUGAACGUAAGUUAUUGUUUGUCAUUUUAUCAUCCCACAAAAUACACCCAGAAGACUUCCUGAAAGGCUUUGAGACACAAUUUUUUCAUUGUCAUUACAUUCGGUGUAAAUACAGUUUACAGUGAGAGUCGUUAAGCAGCCAACUGGGAGGUUUAUGUCACUUUCAUGCUGAUUGGAUGGGGAUUCAAGCCGUACAUUGUAGACUGAUGGACUGCCUGAAGCAAUGGUGGCCGUUUCAGAGCAGCGAGGAAGCUGAUUUCUCUUUUUUUAAUCUGGUUACACUGGGCCGGGCGUGUCCUCGUUUGGUUGCUCGUCGCUCUAAUGGCAGAAACACUCUGGAGGACUUAAUUACCACCCAAGCAGCACUCAGAUGCACGCUUGGAAUGCUAAAGACACUUGCCUUUUUAAUUGCUGCCAAUUCUUCCCAAAAAGAAGCCUCUCUUUUGUAUCCCAUGAAAGGAGUUCAGAGAAGGCCGCAGUAGAAAAGGCGAAAAUAAACAAGGUUACAAUACAGCUGAGAUCUGUGGGCACGUUAUUUCAUGGAUUUUGUCAGUGUCUUAGAUGUUGGUAUUGAUUGAGAGACAUCCCUUGGAAUCUUCCCUGUACAGUGUCAAACAGCGAGUGUGCUUAAAUAGGUUGUGUCUUUAUUGAUUUCUUCAUGAAGCUCUGCUCAGAUGGAAUAUUGAGCGGUUCAGCCUGCGCCGGCCCGGCCUGCUCUCUCACGUGUCUUUCUGCUCUGUGCACCCAGAAGGGCGCCUGGUCUCCACGGUGCUGGAAGGAGAGACUCCUGUCGUGGGAGCGUGACGAGCAGGUGCCCGGGUGCGUGCAGGUGUUUGGUGUCGGUCUCUCGGGUUUCUCUGCCGUGGCUCGCAGCAAACGAUCGUCCCUCACGGGAGAUCUCAGGUUAUCAGCGAUGAGAUUGUAUGGGGACAUGCACGCAGAUGAUUGAUGGGUUCCGGUGCCACGAAGGUAAAAGGACGCAACGUUAUGGAAAAGCGGCUCUCAAGGAGAGCGGUUUCCUGCUUAUUUUAACCUGACCACAAUUACAUUUCAAGGGUGCACGUCUUGCAUAUUUAAAAAUAGCAUAAACUGUCCAUGUAACCUCAGCGAAGAACUCCUCAAGGGCUUGAAAUCAUGAAAUGAUUUAUCAGAGUAGACACAUCAAUUUCUCUGCACUCACAAAUUCUGCUGCAUAUGCUUUCGGUUAUGAGAUUAUUUUCCAAUGAACGGUGUCACAGAUGUACAUUUUGACAACUUCAUUUUUUUUCAUACAAAAGAUGCUGUCACUUUUAAUCAAACCAGGACAUUUAUCAGUUUGGAACCUUUGAAUGAAAAUCCAGGAUUAUCUAUCAGUGCGGAGUACAUAAUUACCAUUAAUAUUCAGUGGAGGAACAUUCAGUCCCCCCUUAAUAUAUAUAGUAUAACACUAUUCAGACUGCCACUAACGAAAAUAUUCUGUUUAAUUAUAUGACGGCUGCACAGAGCCAAAGACAGAUUACGGAUGCAUAUGUGACAAGCUUAUUAAGAGAAGUUUAUAUCCAGUGUUAACCACACUAUAUGGAGAUCUUUUUUCAUACCGAUGAAAUGUAAACAAACAUUCGGGCCUCUCUACCUCCCGCUUCCCUUAUCCCUCUUUCGACCUCUUUUUAUCAGUGUUUUGCUGCUUUUUCCACUCGGACGUCCCGGUUUUUAUAAAAGAAGUUUAGAAGACUGGGAUAUGGUGGUCAGGGUUUAAUUCCGCCGUGGGUUUCGGUCAGCUAACUGUCUUCAUUUGAAACCAGGUUGGGUCGCCUUUCACUGUCAAAGAUUUUUCAAAUCCCCUCCAUAAUGUCAAGACCGCCGUUCCACGCAUGUGGGAUUUAGCUGGAAGGCUUCACUGGCAUUUCCUCAAAAGGUCACCUGAGCCAUUUACUCUUAUGUUAUUUGACUUUUCGAAUAUGCUUCCUUGUCGAUACGCUGGAUAGUAUUGGCACCUCUAGGUGGACCGAGUCCUUGAGCGUUAUAGUUAUUGAGUGCAGAGUGACGGGUUCAGAUGUUGUGCAACAUGUUAAAGCAGCUAAGUUUGAACGGCAUACGCUGACCAAAAUAAUAAUAAUAAAUAAUAUUCUCUUCAGAUGGACAAUGAUUUGAAAUCAAAGCUGUCAGACACAGACACAGAUCACCGUCAGUGAUAAAUGCCAUGUGAGCUGUUGUCACCAUUUCUCCCAAAUCACCUUCUACUUUGAAGUUGUUUUCCAGCAUCCAAAAGCGUUAUUGCCUGUUAAGGAUUUAAGCAAGAAGUGCACCCCUAGUGGUGGAAAUUAUAAUACGUGUAAUAAUGUUUAGUGUUAGAAUUGUAGUUAUUUGGGAGUGUUAUUAGAUAUUAGUUAUUACAUUAGCAUGUUAGAUGAAGUGAAUGCAAUAUGAAUCGAACACAAUUUAUAGUCAUGUAAAUCAUAUAAACAAUAUACACAUCAUCAUUCUGUCACAAUGUGAUGUUAAAACCUAGGGACGGAUGUUAAUUGCCGUCCUUUAUGGAUUUCUCCCAAUUUUAUCCCCAAAGAGGGUUUUUUGGGAGUUUUUUCUCCUGUCAGGUACCAGAUGAGCAACUGAAUACAAGACAGCCGAUUGAGGCAAAUGUCUUGAGAAUUGGACCACAUGAACUGUUUUAGAUCUUAUGAUGUAUUGUGAUGAACGGUGAUCAUUUAUGAUGUGUUGUAAUUAAGGUGUACUAGUUAAGAUGAGGACAAACUAUGCAUGCUUUGUUAUAUUCACUCAUUGAGGCAUAAAGCCAAAUGUAUCUACGUUGAAUGUCUUGGAAUGUGAGGGACAGAAAAGACAGCGAGGUCUCAGACCCCAUGCAGACGGACUCGAGUUUGCCUGAACCCGGGUUUAUUUUUCACACCUACCCACUUUUUAAAUCCCGUGCACAUGAACCCAGUGAAUCCGAUUGAUUGCUUCCACGGAAGCAUGCGUACAAGACAUGCGCGCCGUAUACAAAC
This is a long non-coding RNA of Gasterosteus aculeatus aculeatus (three-spined stickleback), 8911 nucleotides long. The record is from Ensembl. NCBI's taxonomy places the organism in Eukaryota, Metazoa, Chordata, Actinopteri, Perciformes, Gasterosteidae.